Molecule: ribosomal RNA, 483 nt
Filed under: uncultured bacterium
Lineage: Bacteria
Description: partial 16S ribosomal RNA
Rfam family: Bacterial small subunit ribosomal RNA
Source: RNAcentral
GACGAACGCUGGCGGCGUGCUUAACACAUGCGAGUCGAACGCUGAAGCUCAGCUUUUGUUGGGUGGAUGAGUGGCGAACGGGUGAGUAACACGUGAGUAACCUGCCCCCUUCUUUGGGAUAACGCCCGGAAACGGGUGCUAAUACUGGAUAUUCACUGGUCUUCGCAUGGGGGUUGGUGGAAAGGGUUUUUCUGGUGGGGGAUGGGCUCGCGGCCUAUCAGCUUGUUGGUGGGGUGAUGGCCUACCAAGGCUUUGACGGGUAGCCGGCCUGAGAGGGUGACCGGUCACAUUGGGACUGAGAUACGGCCCAGACUCCUACGGGAGGCAGCAGUGGGGAAUAUUGCACAAUGGGCGCAAGCCUGAUGCAGCGACGCCGCGUGAGGGAUGGAGGCCUUCGGGUUGUGAACCUCUUUCGCUCAUGGUCAAGCCGCAACAAUGGUUGUGGUGAGGGUAGUGGGUAAAGAAGCGCCGGCUAACUACGUG